UCGGGAAUUUUGGGCAAUGGGCGAAAGCCUGACCCAGCAACGCCGCGUGAAGGAUGAAAUUUUUCGGAAUGUAAACUUCGCAAGAAUGGGAAGAAUAAGUUCAGGAUAAUACCCUGAAUGAUGACGGUACCAUUUGUAAGCUCCGGCUAACUCCGUGCCAGCAGCCGCGGUAAUACGGGGGGAGCAAGCGUUGUUCGGAUUUACUGGGCGUAAAGGGCGCGUAGGCGGCGUGGUAAGUCACUUGUGAAAUCUCCGGGCUUAACUCGGAACGGUCAAGUGAUACUGCUGUGCUAGAGUGCGGAAGGGGCAACUGGAAUUCUCGGUGUAGCGGUGAAAUGCGUAGAUAUCGAGAGGAACACCUGCGGCGAAGGCGGGUUGCUGGGCCGACACUGACGCUGAAGCGCGAAAGCUAGGGGAGCGAACGGGAUUAGAUACCCCUGUAGUCC
RNAcentral lists this ribosomal RNA (446 nucleotides) under uncultured bacterium. Its description in RNAcentral is "bacterial SSU rRNA". It matches the Rfam family "Bacterial small subunit ribosomal RNA", at positions 355 to 796 of the family's 1533-position model. The record is from RNAcentral.